GACGAACGCUGGCGGCGUGCUUAACACAUGCAAGUCACGGGGGUCCCGCAAGGGAUAACCGGCGAACGGGUGCGUAACACGUGACCAACCUGCCCCUGUGUGGGGGAUAGCCAUGCUAACGCGUGGGUAAUACCGCAUACGGUCCCUUGGGGGAGUCCCUGGGGGAAGAAAGCUCUGGCGCACGGGGAGGGGUCGCGGCCUAUCAGCUAGUUGGCGAGGUAAUGGCUCACCAAGGCGACGACGGGUAGCNGGUCUGAGAGGAUGGCCAGCCACAUUGGGACUGAGAGACGGCCCAGACU
Molecule: ribosomal RNA, 299 nt
Filed under: uncultured bacterium
Lineage: Bacteria
Description: partial 16S ribosomal RNA
Rfam family: Bacterial small subunit ribosomal RNA
Source: RNAcentral